Molecule: long non-coding RNA, 812 nt
Organism: Musa acuminata AAA Group (dessert banana)
Lineage: Eukaryota; Viridiplantae; Streptophyta; Magnoliopsida; Zingiberales; Musaceae
Exons: 2
Source: RefSeq, a predicted model, not a curated record
UCUUCUUCUUCUUCAUGGAUGUUGCAAAGGUCAUGUUCUUCACCAACUCGUCUCAUACUGUCAACUUAAGCAUCAUCAGCUUCAGUGUAAAAGAAGUAAAAAAAAUUAAUCUACUUGAGAUACAUAAAAUAAAGCAAAACAAUUCAAAGGGAUUGGAUUUGGUGUUCCCUUCCGCCUUUCAUUAUAAAUGGGAUAGUUAGAUAAUUAUAAACCGGUAUAUACGGAAGCUUGUUAGAUAAUUAUCGAUUGUAACGGCGAUAUAGCUUUGCAAGCUUUAUAUCAAACCGUUAUAUAUAAUGGGCGUCGGUGGCAAUGGCGUUAUCGUAAAUUUUUAAACGUUGGGGUUGAUCGACCUCGUAUUAGGGCCUCCGUUUCCGGACGCGGAGCGAGAAUGCCGGAGACAGGAGGAUUUCUUCUCCUCCUCCAUUCUUCCUUGUUUACCGCGAAAUCAAAUAGAAUCAAGAAAACAAAGGAUGACAAGGCAGAGAAGGAUGAAAUGAUUCCGAAGACAUGGUGAUCGCAGACAAAAAGGGGGACCGGUGUGGCACCUGAUGGACCCAAGCUUUGAGACAGAGUAAAGUGUUGUCGAUUGAAUUGCUUAAACUGCUAUUAGCAUCUUACAUCUCUCAAACAAAAGCCAAUAGAACGUUAGGUAGCCAUGCUGGUUCACCAGCAGCAUUUUCUUCGGUUGUCACAGGAAACGUUAUGAUAUUAAUCGACUCCCAAGGGUUGUUGCACCCAACUUGUAACAUUGUUUUGUUUUUGGAUUCACUUUUUCAUGGUGUUCCAUUUAUAUUUAAAAUUGUUUCAUA